CCCUUAGAUGUUCUGGGCUGCACGCGUGCUACACUGAUAUUGCCAAUAUGUCAUUCUUAUCCGAAAUGGAUUGGGUAAUCAAGUAAUGAAAUUUCAUGCUUGGAAUCAGUAAUUGCAAUUUUAUCGUGAACGAGGAAUUCCUAGUAAGCACUAGUCAUCAGCUAAUGUUGAUUAUGUCCCUGCCCUUUGUACACACCGCCCGUCGCUACUACUGAUUGGGUGUUCAAGUGAGAUGCUUAGACCCUUGUUGCAUGGUUCAUUAUUGUGCUCCGAAAGGAAAAAGUUUCAAGCUUGAGCGUCUAGAGGAAGUAAAAGUCGUAACA
This 323-nucleotide ribosomal RNA is filed under the name uncultured eukaryote. RNAcentral's name for it is "partial 18S ribosomal RNA". It matches the Rfam family "Eukaryotic small subunit ribosomal RNA", at positions 1470 to 1796 of the family's 1831-position model. The record is from RNAcentral.